This 157-nucleotide ribosomal RNA is filed under the name Citrobacter freundii. RNAcentral describes it as "partial 23S ribosomal RNA". It matches the Rfam family "Bacterial large subunit ribosomal RNA", at positions 2774 to 2925 of the family's 2925-position model. The record is from RNAcentral. Lineage: Bacteria; Pseudomonadati; Pseudomonadota; Gammaproteobacteria; Enterobacterales; Enterobacteriaceae.
AAAGCAUCUAAGCACGAAACUUGCCCCGAGAUGAGUUCUCCCUGAGACUAUAAGUCUCCUGAAGGAACGUUAAAGACUAUGACGUUGAUAGGUCGGGUGUGUAAGUGUAGCGAUACAUUGAGCUAACCGAUACUAAUGAACCGUGAGGCUUAACCUU